RNAcentral lists this long non-coding RNA (1458 nucleotides) under Medicago truncatula (barrel medic). RNAcentral describes it as "long non-coding RNA (MTRU_LNC000200)". The record is from RNAcentral. Lineage: Eukaryota; Viridiplantae; Streptophyta; Magnoliopsida; Fabales; Fabaceae.
AGACCAUGAAACUUAUAGACUAUAAAUAUACCAAAUCAUAUACCAUUUGUUAUAUAAAAAUUAAGAGGGAAAGAUAUGGUUGAAGCUCUAAAACUUGUUAAUGUUUUAAUUCUAUUUCUUUCCAUAUUUCUAUCCAUAAUAGUAUCUACUUCUUCCUUUCCCUGGAAGCUAUAUCCAUGUGUAACAGAUAAAGAUUGUCCAAGAAAAAACAGGCAUGUUGUUAAGUGUCGUAAAGGCUAUUGUGUAGGGGUGCAGAUAAUCUGAGGGACAUCAAAGAGCUGUCCUACAAGAGAAACAGUGUUCAUCUUGAAGAUGCAGUGUCAUAUCUAUAAUGAGUUUGGGUUAUGUUGGCUUAUAAUUAUGUGUUUGCAUUAAGUUGUUUUAUCAAUAAAGUAUGUUUUGUUGAGUAUUGUCUUGUUAUGUUGGUUGCUUUGGAUAACUUGGACUUUUAUGUUGUGUUGUUUCCUUUGGGAUAUGCUUUAUGUUGUUUAUUUAGACUAAUGAAUAUCAAAAUUAUAUUGGGGUAUGUUGGUAUGGUAUUUUACUUCACGUUGUUCACUGAUUAAAUGUUUAAUUUAGUAUUCAAAUCUUUAGUACAUGCAACUCUACAUUAUUAUUUUUUCCCAAAACUAGUUAAUGUAAAAAAAUUUGGAACAACUAUUUAAACAUAUAUUUUGCAACAACUAUUUUAACAAUUCUGUGUAUAUGAACAUGUGUUUUGAAUUUUUUUCUUCUUUUACUUUUAUGAAAGUGCUCCUAUACACAUAUGACUGUCAAAAUAAUUGUUGCAAAAUAGAUGUUCAUAUAUCAUUUCUUAAAUAUAUUUUUUUUAUUGAAAGAAUAAGAAUCAUUUCUCAAAUAUUUUAAGUGCAAAAUAAAUGAAUACAAACGUAUCACACCAAUUCUAACAAAACUACAAGGAGAAUUAUUAAAUUAGAGUCAAAUACUAACACAUUGUCUACUGCAUCGCUUUGAUCAAAGACAACUAUUAUGAGCAAGGUUGAUAAAAGAGCAAGGCCAUCAAGACAAAUCACCUUAGGGUUUACAAAAAUAUAAAAAAAGUACAAUAAAAAGAUCAAAUAUUCUUCGAUUAGAUAUUAAAAAUACUUUAUCUUUAAAUUUAUCAUAUGCCCUUUUAUUGUAGAUGUUUUAUUGAGGUUGUAUUGAAGUGACACAUAGUUAAAGCUUAUGGGAUGUCGAAUGUAUAUAUGUGGCUGCACACCCUCAUUUUUAUGUGUUAACUUUUGAGAUUGAGAUCUAAGAUCUUUAAUAUAUUGUAUUAGAUAUGCAUUAAGGAUGUCUGUAUGGGGAAUGGGCUCAGAAGCCAUGCUUGACGUGAGAACGAGUAUUGAAGUUGUAUUGAAAUUUCACAUUGUCAAGAUUUUGAGACUAUUAAAUGUAUAUAUGUGAUUACACAUCCUCAUCCAAUGAACUAACUUUUGAACUUGAGAUCCAAAC